GGUAUCGCCGUUAGUCAUGUGCAAAUAUGGAUAGCUGUUUUAGCCGUCUUUAUUGACUGGUUUAUAAGAGUUAUCAGAUAUCACUUUGAUUAAAUUAGAGUGCUUAAAGCAAGUGUGUUACUUGGAUAUAAAUGCAUGGAAUGAUGGAAUAUGUUGUUAUUCUAUUUGUUGGUUUUUGAAUGAUAAAAUGAUUGAAAGGAGCUGUUGGGGGCAUUCGUAUUGUUGUGAGAGAGGUGAAAUUCUUAGACCACAGCAAGACGAACUACUGCGAAAGCAUUUGCCAAGAAUGUUUUCAUUGAUCAAGAACGAAAGUUAGAGGUUCGAAGGCGAUCAGAUACCGCCCUAGUUCUAACCAUAAACUAUGCCAACUAGCAAUUUGCUUUGUAUUUUUUAUGACUAAGUGAGAGGCCACGGGAAACCUAAGUAGGGUUAUGGGGGAAGUAUGGUUGCAAAGCUGAAACUUAAAGGAAUUGACGGAAGGGCACCACCAGGAGUGGAGCCUGCGGCUUAAUUUGACUCAACACGGGAAAACUUACCUGGUCCUGACACUAGAAGGAUUGACAGAUUGAUAGCUCUUUCUUGAUUUGGUGGAUGGUGGUGCAUGGCCGUUCUUAGUUGGUGGAGUGAUUUGUCUGGUUAAUUCCGAUAACGAACGAGACUCUAGCCUAUUAAAUAAUACACGGCAUUUUAUCUUCCGCGGUAUUUCUUAGUGGGAUCAAGCG
This 722-nucleotide ribosomal RNA is filed under the name uncultured eukaryote. Its description in RNAcentral is "SSU rRNA". It matches the Rfam family "Eukaryotic small subunit ribosomal RNA", at positions 672 to 1426 of the family's 1831-position model. The record is from RNAcentral.